CGGGAGAAAAAUAUUAUUGAUAUAUUGAUAUUAAAUAUGAUACAAUGAGCCCUAUAUAUACACAUAACCUAUCAUUCUCAUAAUACAUAUUGGAUUACGGUUAUUUUAUAUUCUAACACUCCCCUCAAGCUGGUGCAUAUAAAUCAUAUGUAACGAGCUUGUUACAUAUGAGGGACUUGGUGAAAAUGUCUGCAAGCUGAUCAUUUGACUUUACAAACUUUGUAGCAAUA
RNAcentral lists this long non-coding RNA (230 nucleotides) under Nicotiana benthamiana. RNAcentral describes it as "long non-coding RNA (NBEN_LNC002342)". The record is from RNAcentral. Lineage: Eukaryota; Viridiplantae; Streptophyta; Magnoliopsida; Solanales; Solanaceae.